AUACGGAGGAUGCGAGCGUUAUCCGGAUUUAUUGGGUUUAAAGGGAGCGUAGGUGGGAUAUUAAGUCAGCUGUGAAAGUUUGGGGCUCAACCUUAAAAUUGCAGUUGAUACUGGUUUCCUUGAGUACGGUACAGGUGGGCGGAAUUCGUGGUGUAGCGGUGAAAUGCUUAGAUAUCACGAAGAACUCCGAUCGCGAAGGCAGCUCACCGGGCCGGAACUGACACUGAUGCUCGAAAGUGCUGGUAUCAAACAGGAUUAGAUACCCUGGUAGUCCGCACAGUAAACGAUGAAUACUCGCUGUUUGCGAUACACGGUAAGCGGCCAAGCGAAAGCGUUAAGUAUUCCUCCUGGGGAGUACGCCGGCAACGGUGAAACUCAAAUGAAUUGACGGGG
This 393-nucleotide ribosomal RNA is filed under the name uncultured bacterium. RNAcentral describes it as "partial 16S ribosomal RNA". It matches the Rfam family "Bacterial small subunit ribosomal RNA", at positions 523 to 918 of the family's 1533-position model. The record is from RNAcentral.